RNAcentral lists this ribosomal RNA (1158 nucleotides) under Triticum aestivum (bread wheat). RNAcentral describes it as "partial small subunit ribosomal RNA". The record is from RNAcentral. Lineage: Eukaryota; Viridiplantae; Streptophyta; Magnoliopsida; Poales; Poaceae.
AUGGCGUCGGCGACGGACGCCCAAUCGGGAACAAGCGAUGGUGGUAGCGCUGCUGUGAAGUCAGAUCUGGGAGAUUUUUUGGAACAGUUGAACUUGGAAGAAGAAGAAUUCGAUGACCUGGUCAUCAAUGAGGAUGAUCCUGAAAUCAACGAAAGCGUCAGAUGGCUUGCCCUAGCUAGGGUUUAUACUGAUAAGUCCUUUAGCCAGACAGCUUUUUACAGGGAGAUGCGCGCGGCGUGGAAUACAGCCCAGCCGGUUAGGUUUCGGCCGGUUGGACCGAAUCUAUUCGUCGUGCAAGCUUCCUGUCUGGGUGAUUGGGAGCGCAUGCUUGAUCAGGGGCCAUGGCUAUUCAGGAAUAUGCUUGUGUUAAUGUGUUCAUAUGAUGGUUUCACUAAGGCCGAGGAAGUUCCAAUGGAUUUCAUGCCAAUCUGGCUACAAAUCCACAAACUUCCGGAAGGGUUCUGUAAGGGAAAGAUUGUGCAACAUCUGCUGCGGAAUUCUGGUGAGAUUAUGGAGAUGAGGCUUAAUGGAAAUACUAGAGGAGAUUAUGUAAGAAUUCGCAUCCGCCAUGAUAUUAGACAGCCUUUGACAAAAUUUGUUAGCAUCGUCAGAGGCGGGGAGAGGCAGGUGUUUCUGGUUCGGUAUGAGAAGCUGGCCAGAUUCUGCAGUGUAUGCGGCCUAAUUGGCCAUGAGUACAAAGAAUGUGGCAGCGGCAUUCAUGAGGACAAGGACAAGAAAUACGGGGCAUGGCUAUACGCUGAUGGACCCAACAGACAGCGUCAGGAGGAAAUGCCUGCGAGAGGAGGCACACGGCAAUAUGAGGCCACACCCCAGCAGGGGAAUAAGUCAGGGAAGGGGACGGUUGAUCCUGAAACAGUAGAUACAGCUACAAUUCCGUCAAAAACUGGCCGUACCUCUAUGCAGGUGGAUCCGGCGGCCAGAAAGAGAUUAGCCUUGGAUGUGGUGGGUGCUGAUGCGGUGCAUGGAGCCCAGAAACCAACGGAUGAGGUUCUUGCGGUGACACUUGGGAAAGGAGAGGAUGAUGGGACCAACUCUCCUAGUAGCAGCAAUGGAAGUAAGAGAGCAAAGACUAACUCAGAUAACAUAUCUGGCGAUAGAUCGGCGGCCUCCUUGGGGGAGGUCCGCCGGGCACAAUGA